RNAcentral lists this microRNA (21 nucleotides) under Monodelphis domestica (gray short-tailed opossum). RNAcentral describes it as "mdo-miR-7385d-5p". Lineage: Eukaryota; Metazoa; Chordata; Mammalia; Didelphimorphia; Didelphidae. The record is from miRBase by way of RNAcentral.
AGGUCUGAUAGUCUAUCUUCC